UCCUACGGGAGGCAGCAGUGGGGAAUAUUGGACAAUGGACCAAAAGUCUGAUCCAGCAAUUCUGUGUGCACGAUGACGGUCUUAGGAUUGUAAAGUGCUUUCAAUCGGGAAAAAGAAAGUGAUGGUACCGAUAGAAGAAGCGACGGCUAAAUACGUGCCAGCAGCCGCGGUAAUACGUAUGUCGCAAGCGUUAUCCGGAUUUAUUGGGCGUAAAGCGCGUCUAGGCGGUCUGGUAAGUCUGAUGUGGAAAUGCGGGGCUCAACUCCGUAUUGCGUUGGAAACUGCCAGACUAGAGUACUGGAGAGGUGGGCGGAACUACAAGUGUAGAGGUGAAAUUCGUAGAUAUUUGUAGGAAUGCCGAUAGAGAAGUCAGCUCACUGGACAGAUACUGACGCUGAAGCGCGAAAGCAUGGGGAGCAAACAGGAUUAGAUACCCUGGUAGUCC
This 445-nucleotide ribosomal RNA is filed under the name Alkalihalobacterium bogoriense. Its description in RNAcentral is "bacterial SSU rRNA". It matches the Rfam family "Bacterial small subunit ribosomal RNA", at positions 337 to 796 of the family's 1533-position model. The record is from RNAcentral. Lineage: Bacteria; Bacillati; Bacillota; Bacilli; Caryophanales; Bacillaceae.